Molecule: unclassified non-coding RNA, 680 nt
Filed under: Hevea brasiliensis (rubber tree)
Lineage: Eukaryota; Viridiplantae; Streptophyta; Magnoliopsida; Malpighiales; Euphorbiaceae
Source: RNAcentral
UACAGCCACGUGCAAUAGCCCCUGCACGCAAAGGAACAACCCCUGCACGCACAGGAAUAUUACGUCCCAUCUGUAACGUGUACCUUUGGAUGCUAAUCAUAUUAGCAUCUUGUAGCUCCGGACACUAAUAUAAUUAGCAUCUUUGUCCAUGGCGUGCACCAUGUCCGGUCUCGUCCCAAGUCUAUCCCAAGUCCAAUCUGCAGGCGGGGAAUCUCCAGUGAAGCGGGACGCUAUUUUUAUUGGCGUCCUGUGUUCAUCCACUCCCCAUAUGUACCGCUGCUCUCUCUCCCUGCGCUCUCAUUUACGGCUUCCAUUUCGCCCUCAAGCCCUCGCUCGUUCAUUCCUCAUCCAUUGUCUCCCUCGCUCGUUUAUUCCUCAUCCAUUGUCUCAUUUUGGUAGAGCAGCUUACAGUCGGUGGACCAAGAAGGAGAGGAGACAGGUGCAGUUGCAGUGGUAGAUCACAAAGAGAAAAAGAAGAAAUUUGAAAAAAAAUUAUAUUCAUGUAUGUAUUUUGAUUGUUUAAUAAUUUUUAACAUAUAAUAUAUGAAAUGCUUAGGUGAUAAUAAUGUUUAUUAUUCUGAAAAUAAUGUAAUUUUUUUUUAUGCAUGUUGGUAUGUUUGUGAGAAACUUUUGGUGAGCAAGUUGAUAUUUUUGUAUGCAUGGCCUAAGAAAUGGAUUUU